UUAUAUAUAAAUAUAAUUUAUUUUAUUAUAAAAUUUUAUUUAAUUAAGAAAAUACAUGAAAUUUU
RNAcentral lists this ribosomal RNA (65 nucleotides) under Acyrthosiphon pisum (pea aphid). Its description in RNAcentral is "partial 12S ribosomal RNA". The record is from RNAcentral. Lineage: Eukaryota; Metazoa; Arthropoda; Insecta; Hemiptera; Aphididae.